GACACACCCGCUCUGUCCAUGUGAGCUGAGGCUGAGACAAAAGAACCUACACCCUGUUGUUCAUAACAGCAUGCGAGUGUCAGGAAGGGUGAAGACGUGUGUUCACUACUCUCCCUUAAGAAAAAAGUCUACACUACAAAAAGAAAAGACUCAAACGGACAGAGAGGCGACGCUAAAAGCCAAAAGAUCUGACCUGUCUAUCCUCAAGCCAUAAUACUCUACUUACUCUUUGAAAAGAAAAAAAGAAAGAAAAGAAAAUAGGCUAAAUUUUUUUUAAAAAAAAGCCAAGAGUCAUGGGAAAAGGUGGGAGCGAGAUAUGGGACGGAGCGUUGGAGGACACGGUGCAAACUCAGCCUAAGAAACAGGAGGAGAAGACGACGACUAAAAGCUCAGGCAAAAGCUGUCCCAAGUGCUGCUUGCAGACAAGGAAGUGUCUGAUGAGCGCAGAGUGCGGCAGGGCCCUUCAGAUCUCCAGCGUCGUCGCCAUAUGUGGAAUGUGCAUCCGCAUGUUCGUGUAACCAACCCAUGGACUUCAGGAGCAGCUUUUUCCAGGCUGCGCUGAUUCUCAGCAAACCCCAGCACACUUCAUGAGAAUCAUGCCAUAUGGGUUUCUACUCAUCUGUGAUGAAAUUCUGUUCUUUUAGCUCAAUUUCAUCAGCAGAAGAUCUCUUCAUUCUCUAGCCACAAGUUAUUUAUUUACCAAAAGCAUUGCCUGUAUACAAAACAAACUAGAAAGAAUCAUUAUGAAUGAAUGGAGGGAUGGAUGGAUGAAUGGAUGGAUGGAUGGAUGUCCCUUUGACCUGCAUGUCUUUGUUAAAGGUCUUUUAUUUGGAUGCUUUCCGAUUGAUCAAAAAGCUCCAGUAUUUACUCAAUACAAAUGUUUACAUUAAUAUUUACAGUUGAGGCGUUUUCAAUAAUAAUAUAUAUUACGAUGGUAGUGCUGAUGUGUGGGUAAAUAUAUAUACAGUGUAACCCCAACAUCCUAUUUUUAAAUAUGAGUAAGAUGACCAGAUGGUGGGGCGGGGGGGACGACUGUGACACAUCGGAACUAAUGGAAAACUUCUAAUAAAGCUUUCAUUAACAACAAGGA
Long non-coding RNA from Etheostoma cragini (Arkansas darter), 1090 nucleotides. RefSeq lists it as uncharacterized. The record is from RefSeq and is a predicted model, not a curated record. NCBI's taxonomy places the organism in Eukaryota, Metazoa, Chordata, Actinopteri, Perciformes, Percidae. The transcript has 3 exons.